UCUAAUAUGGCAGAAUAGUGCAUUGGACUUAAGCCCCAAAUAUAAAGCUCAAAGCUUUUUUUAGAA
RNAcentral lists this transfer RNA (66 nucleotides) under Lachnaia hirta. RNAcentral describes it as "tRNA-Leu". It matches the Rfam family "tRNA". Rfam says of the family: Transfer RNA (tRNA) molecules are approximately 80 nucleotides in length. Lineage: Eukaryota; Metazoa; Arthropoda; Insecta; Coleoptera; Chrysomelidae. The record is from RNAcentral.